Molecule: long non-coding RNA, 952 nt
Organism: Arabidopsis lyrata subsp. lyrata
Lineage: Eukaryota; Viridiplantae; Streptophyta; Magnoliopsida; Brassicales; Brassicaceae
Exons: 5
Source: RefSeq, a predicted model, not a curated record
UAUUUUCAGACCAACUCUUGGUCUUAUCAUCUCUAAUUCUACCCUAAAGUUCUCAGCCGACUGUGUCUAAAAAGGAAUCGAUUGCAAAAUUAACUGAUAAUCAAAAGCCUACGUCUCUGUUUAUCAUCUGUUAAUCGGAAAAUCUGAAUUCUACAAAGAGAGAGCUUGGAAAAAUGAUAGUGAAGAAGUCGAUCUUAUAUGGAUAAAUAUUUACACACUGAUGAUGUUGCCAAAAGAGGAGUAUUAAAAAAGAUAAGUCUUCUGUAAAGAUUAUAAGAGAAAAACAGUUGUUUAUAAAAUAUGUGGUAUUGAUGAUACAAAUUUCAAUUGUGUAUACAGCCCAAGCAUCAUGUCCUUGUCAAAUUCUUAUGGAAGAGGCAGAAACAACGUCAUCUUUUUAGUAAUCAAUUAAAUCUGGGAACUAUGUUAAAGUCGCAUGAAUCAAAGUACCCUGUACGAAGCAAAGAAACAGACUUUAACAUUUGAUGUACACAUAAUAAUUAGAAGAGUAAAUCUAUACUAUUAGUAAGAAGAUGAUUAUAGAUGUAUCAGCAAGAAUCAUCUCGAUAGUCUCCUCGGAGUAUUGGGUGUAUUGAGUCCACGAAUGGACAAUUUUCACUUGGAUGUUCGGUGAUGGGAAGAUUUGCAGCCAUUGUUUGAGAGAUUUCCAAAUCGCAACCGUGAGCAUCAAUCCAGAUCGCAACAGUGAGGAUCAAGCUAAGGACUGGCGGGUCAAGUAUAGGGUCCGCGUGUGGAUCCGUAAGUUAGCCCAUCAUCCUCAUAAAUAACCGAUCCAAUAGCCCAUGAUCCAUGGAUAUUUGUCUAUCAAAUUAUACUUUUAACCUUGCACGUGUUUUUUUAUUUUAGUCUUUGAAUGUAAUUAUCCUAAUGGCAAUCUUUAUAAUUAUUUACACUUAAUAAGGUUAUAUAUUAUAUAAUCCUUCCCAAUUAA